RNAcentral lists this ribosomal RNA (1030 nucleotides) under Tephritidae sp. JHY-2013. RNAcentral's name for it is "SSU rRNA". It matches the Rfam family "Eukaryotic small subunit ribosomal RNA", at positions 45 to 997 of the family's 1831-position model. Lineage: Eukaryota; Metazoa; Arthropoda; Insecta; Diptera; Tephritidae. The record is from RNAcentral.
AUAGCCAUGCAUGUCUAAGUACACACGAAUUAAAAGUGAAACCGCAAAAGGCUCAUUAUAUCAGUUAUGGUUCCAUAGAUCGUUAACAGUUACUUGGAUAACUGUGGUAAUUCUAGAGCUAAUACAUGCAAUUAUAAACACGGACCUUUUGGAACGUGUGCUUUUAUUAGUAUAAAACCAAGCGAUCGCAAGAUCGUUAUAAUGGUUGAACUCUAGAUAACAUGCAGAUCGUAUGGUCCCGUACCGACGACAGAUCUUUCAAAUGUCUGCCCUAUCAACUUUUGAUGGUAGUAUCUAGGACUACCAUGGUUGCAACGGGUAACGGGGAAUCAGGGUUCGAUUCCGGAGAGGGAGCCUGAGAAACGGCUACCACAUCUAAGGAAGGCAGCAGGCGCGUAAAUUACCCACUCCCAGUUCGGGGAGGUAGUGACGAAAAAUAACAAUACAGGACUCAUAUCCGAGGCCCUGUAAUUGGAAUGAGUACACUUUAAAUCCUUUAACAAGGACCUAUUGGAGGGCAAGUCUGGUGCCAGCAGCCGCGGUAAUUCCAGCUCCAAUAGCGUAUAUUAAAGUUGUUGCGGUUAAAACGUUCGUAGUUGAAUUUGUGCUUCAUACGGGUAGUACAACUAUAAUUGUGGUAUGUACAUUACCUUAUGUAUGUUAAGCGUAUUACCGGUGGAGUUCUUAUAUAUAAUUAAUACAGUGUAUUUUUUAUAUAUUCCUCCUAUUUAAAAACCUGCUUCAGUGCUCUUCAUCGAGUGUUGUUGUGGGCCGGUACAAUUACUUUGAACAAAUUAGAGUGCUUAAAGCAGGCUCCAAAUGCCUGAAUAUUUUGUGCAUGGAAUAAUGAAAUAAGACCUCUGUUCUACUUUCAUUGGUUUUUAGAUCAAGAGGUAAUGAUUAAUAGAAGCAGUUUGGGGGCAUUAGUAUUACGACGCGAGAGGUGAAAUUCUUGGACCGUCGUAAGACUAACUUAAGCGAAAGCAUUUGCCAAAGAUGUUUUCAUUAAUCAAGAACGAAAGUUAGAGGU